This 492-nucleotide ribosomal RNA is filed under the name uncultured bacterium. RNAcentral's name for it is "partial 16S ribosomal RNA". It matches the Rfam family "Bacterial small subunit ribosomal RNA", at positions 29 to 507 of the family's 1533-position model. The record is from RNAcentral.
AGUGAACGCUGGCGGUAGGCCUAACACAUGCAAGUCGAACGGCAGCACAGUAAGAGCUUGCUCUUACGGGUGGCGAGUGGCGGACGGGUGAGGAAUACAUCGGAAUCUACUUUUUCGUGGGGGAUAACGUAGGGAAACUUACGCUAAUACCGCAUACGACCUACGGGUGAAAGCAGGGGAUCUUCGUACCUUGCGCGAUUGAAUGCGCCGAUGUCGGAUUAGCUAGUUGGCGGGGUAAAGGCCCACCAAGGCGACGAUCCGUAGCUGGUCUGAGAGGAUGAUCAGCCACACUGGAACUGAGACACGGUCCAGACUCCUACGGGAGGCAGCAGUGGGGAAUAUUGGACAAUGGGCGCAAGCCUGAUCCAGCCAUACCGCGUGGGUGAAGAAGGCCUUCGGGUUGUAAAGCCCUUUUGUUGGGAAAGAAAAGCAGCAGGUUAAUACCCCGCUGUCCUGACGGUACCCAAAGAAUAAGCACCGGCUAACUUCGUG